RNAcentral lists this ribosomal RNA (444 nucleotides) under uncultured bacterium. RNAcentral's name for it is "partial 16S ribosomal RNA". It matches the Rfam family "Bacterial small subunit ribosomal RNA", at positions 331 to 792 of the family's 1533-position model. The record is from RNAcentral.
CCAGACUCCUACGGGAGGCAGCAGUGGGGAAUAUUGCACAAUGGGGGAAACCCUGAUGCAGCAACGCCGCGUGAGUGAAGAAGUAUUUCGGUAUGUAAAGCUCUAUCAGCAGGGAAGAAGAUGACGGUACCUGAUUAAGAAGCCCCGGCUAACUACGUGCCAGCAGCCGCGGUAAUACGUAGGGGGCAAGCGUUAUCCGGAUUUACUGGGUGUAAAGGGGGCGCAGACGGCAGCGCAAGCCAGGAGUGAAAGCCCGGGGCCCAACCCCGGGACUGCUCUUGGAACUGCGCGGCUGGAGUGCAGGAGGGGCAGGCGGAAUUCCUGGGGUAGCGGUGAAAUGCGUAGAUAUCAGGAGGAACACCGGUGGCGAAGGCGGCCUGCUGGACGAUGACUGACGUUGAGGCUCGAAAGCGUGGGGAGCAAACAGGAUUAGAUACCCGAGUA